This 484-nucleotide ribosomal RNA is filed under the name uncultured bacterium. Its description in RNAcentral is "partial 16S ribosomal RNA". It matches the Rfam family "Bacterial small subunit ribosomal RNA", at positions 30 to 507 of the family's 1533-position model. The record is from RNAcentral.
AUUGAACGCUGGCGGCAUGCUUUACACAUGCAAGUCGAACGGCAGCGCGGGCUUCGGCCUGGCUUCGAGUGGCGAACUGGUGAGUAAUACAUCGGAACGUGCCCAUUAGCGGGUGAUAGCUCGGCGACAUCCGGAUUAAUACCCCAAACGACCUGAGGGCGAACGCGGGGGAUCUUCGGACCUUGCGCUCUUGGACCGUCCGAUGGCGGAUUAGCUAGUUGGUGGGGUAAAGGCCUACCAAGGCGACGAUCCGUAGCUGGUCUGAGAGGACGACCAGCCACACUGGAACUGAGACACGGCCCAGACUCCUACGGGAGGCAGCAGUGGGGAAUUUUGGACAAUGGGCGCAAGCCUGAUCCAGCCAUGCCGCGUGUGUGAUGAAGGCCUUCGGGUUGUAAAGCACUUUUGGCGGGAACGAAAAGCAGUGGGCCAAUACCACGGUUCGAUGACGGUACCCGCAGAAUAAGCACCGGCUAACUACGUG